GUAGGGAGCAAGCGUUAUCCGGAUUUACUGGGUGUAAAGGGUGCGUAGGCGGAUUGGCAAGUCAGAAGUGAAAUCCAUGGGCUUAACCCAUGAACUGCUUUUGAAACUGUUAGUCUUGAGUGAAGUAGAGGUAGGCGGAAUUCCCGGUGUAGCGGUGAAAUGCGUAGAGAUCGGGAGGAACACCAGUGGCGAAGGCGGCCUACUGGGCUUUAACUGACGCUGAGGCACGAAAGUGUGGGUAGCAAACAGGAUUAGAUACCCUGGUAGUCCACGCCGUAAACGAUGAAUGCCAGCCGUUAGUGGGUUUACUCACUAGUGGCGCAGCUAACGCUUUAAGCAUUCCGCCUGGGGAGU
RNAcentral lists this ribosomal RNA (354 nucleotides) under uncultured bacterium. Its description in RNAcentral is "bacterial SSU rRNA". It matches the Rfam family "Bacterial small subunit ribosomal RNA", at positions 527 to 881 of the family's 1533-position model. The record is from RNAcentral.